RNAcentral lists this ribosomal RNA (253 nucleotides) under uncultured microorganism. RNAcentral describes it as "partial 16S ribosomal RNA". It matches the Rfam family "Bacterial small subunit ribosomal RNA", at positions 524 to 776 of the family's 1533-position model. The record is from RNAcentral.
UACGAAAGGGGCAAGCGUUGUUCGGAUUUACUGGGCGUAAAGGGCACGCAGGCGGUCUUGCCAGUCAGGGGUGAAAGCCCGGGGCUCAACCCCGGAACUGCCUCUGAUACUGCAAGACUAGAGACUAGGAGAGGGUGGUGGAAUUCCCAGUGUAGAGGUGAAAUGCGUAGAUAUCGGGAGGAACACCAGUAGCGAAGGCGGCCAUCUGGCUGGUAACUGACGCUGAGGUGCGAGAGCGUGGGGAGCAAACAGG